RNAcentral lists this ribosomal RNA (253 nucleotides) under uncultured bacterium. RNAcentral's name for it is "partial 16S ribosomal RNA". It matches the Rfam family "Bacterial small subunit ribosomal RNA", at positions 524 to 776 of the family's 1533-position model. The record is from RNAcentral.
UACAGAGGGGGCAAGCGUUGUUCGGAAUUACUGGGCGUAAAGGGCGCGUAGGCGGCCUGUUAAGUCGAACGUGAAAUCCCCGGGCUCAACCCGGGAACUGCGUCCGAUACUGGCAGGCUUGAAUCCGGGAGAGGGAUGCGGAAUUCCAGGUGUAGCGGUGAAAUGCGUAGAUAUCUGGAGGAACACCGGUGGCGAAGGCGGCGACCUGGGUUGACAUUGACGCUGAGGCGCGAAAGCGUGGGGAGCAAACAGG